AUUCAAAGGGUUCUCUUUUUCGCGAGGCGAGGUAGAGCGGAUGGAUGAACAAACGACGAACUUCAAGCGGAUCGUGUGGGACGAUGCCGCGGAGAGAAGGGAAUGUGUCGAGGCGGCGAACAGCAACAACACAACUACAUUUUUUCUUUGCCGGAACUUCUAGCCAUCCUGAGCUCUUUCUCACCUUCCAAACUUCAGCCCCUUCGAGUUGGCCACGGGGCGAUUUGGAGAGGAGGCUGCAAGCGCUGCGGACGGAGAAGGAAGAACUCGCCUUUCUUCUCUUCCCUUAACUUAAUAGGGGUGCCCUCCUUCACAGCCUAAGCCCCUACUCAACAUGACUCGACUCGCAUUCAGAGAAGAGAGGUCUGCUAGGGUUUUCAAUCCCUGUCUUUCUCUCUUCCUCUUCCCCUGCUGCAAAUCUCAAUAUCUAUUCCAAUAGUUUCUGGUAAGCCUGAUAGAUUUGGAACAUUACAACCAUAUUGGCCGUAUAUUAGAUGUUUACGUUCCCAGGGUAAGAUAUUUAAGAACACACAUGAGUUCUCUAAACUGCUUAGAUCAACAGUCUUCUUUGAUGUAGGAUCCUAAGAGAUCAGGUCAUAGAGGUUUUUGAUUUGUUACUUUUGCUGAAGAUGGUGUAGCAGAUCGUGUCUCACGAAGGCCUCAUGAAAUUUGUGGACAACAGGUAGCAUUAGAUUCAGCCACACCUGUUGAUGAUGCAAGUCCGAGUGAGAAUUUUAUGAUGAAUGGCGUGGGUUCUUUUGGGGGUUAUGGAGGUCCUAUGCGAACUUAUGGGAGGAUGUAUGGUAGCCUGGACUUCGACGAUUGGGGUUAUGGAAUUCCCAGUCGGAGGCCAUCAAGAGCAGAUUGGAGAGACUUGGGAAUGGGACAUGAUGAAAUGAGGGGAUUAUUCCCUAUUGCUUUUGAAUAUUCAGCGAGAAUGCUGUUCACAAAAGGCAUCUUCCAGUGCUCAUAUGUUGCAUGCCAUGAACUGUGCGCCAAAGUAGCAUAUAUCAUUGUUUUGUUGUUGCUGGAUUCCUGAAGAAGAAAAUGACGUUACUGAGAAAGUUCACACAAAAUAAUUGAUUUAUGCAAAAUGAAAUGAGGUUGCAGAUAAGCAGAGAAGGUAGUGCUCAGAUAUAGGCAUCAUAGUUGGUGCAAUAGUUGGAAGUUGUUUAUGAGGUUCAAGGUCCUUGAGAAUGCGAAAUGGACACUCUCGUGGAGAGUGGGAGUCUUGCUACGACUGCUUCGGAAGAAGUGGUUAGGAAUUGGUAAAGAAACCUGAUAUCAAUGUCACUGAGAUGUCCAUUUGAUCAGUAUAAUGGAUGGAAUGUACAAUGUUAGCUGUGUUCUGGUUUGAAUUAUGUUAUUGACUCACUGCUUGUAGUGUAUAAUUUGUGCUCUAUGCUUUCCUUUCGUUUGAGUACUUCAUGUCAGUAGGAAAUGUGUGAUUCAGUGUAAGAUAGAAAGAUGUCAUAUUUGAGUUGCUCUUGUAACACAACCAUGACUAAACACUUCAUUGCUUAUUUCUAUGAAAAUAAGGCAAGUAAUGUUAUGUGUAACAAGAAUGAAGAAUCACUUCUUAUAC
This is a long non-coding RNA of Arachis stenosperma, 1585 nucleotides long. RefSeq lists it as uncharacterized. The record is from RefSeq and is a predicted model, not a curated record. NCBI's taxonomy places the organism in Eukaryota, Viridiplantae, Streptophyta, Magnoliopsida, Fabales, Fabaceae. The transcript is spliced from 5 exons.